Molecule: ribosomal RNA, 253 nt
Filed under: uncultured bacterium
Lineage: Bacteria
Description: partial 16S ribosomal RNA
Rfam family: Bacterial small subunit ribosomal RNA
Source: RNAcentral
UACGUAGGGUGCGAGCGUUAAUCGGAAUUACUGGGCGUAAAGCGUGCGCAGGCGGCUUCGCAAGUCAGGCGUGAAAUCCCCGGGCUUAACCUGGGAAUUGCGCUUGAAACUAGCGGGCUUGAGUGUGGCAGAGGGGGGUGGAAUUCCACGUGUAGCAGUGAAAUGCGUAGAGAUGUGGAGGAACACCGAUGGCGAAGGCAGCCCCCUGGGUCAACACUGACGCUCAUGCACGAAAGCGUGGGGAGCAAACAGG